Perognathus longimembris pacificus (Pacific pocket mouse) is the source of this 178-nucleotide long non-coding RNA. RefSeq lists it as uncharacterized. Lineage: Eukaryota; Metazoa; Chordata; Mammalia; Rodentia; Heteromyidae. The record is from RefSeq and is a predicted model, not a curated record. The transcript has 3 exons.
AAAAAUAUAUAUAUAUAUAUAUUACUCUGUAGCCAGAUCAUGUAGCACCACUCAUGUAUUCUGAUAAGUUAAGUAUUUUAGGUCAGAUAACCCUUUCAAGAUGCUAGUAAGUUACUUUAAAUGUUUGUGAAAGGGAAACCUAGUCUCCAUUACUGGCAGUCUUCUCUUUAAAGAAAAA